UACAGAGGGUGCAAGCGUUGUUCGGAAUUACUGGGCGUAAAGCGUGCGUAGGUGGUAUUGAGAGUCAUAGGUGAAAUCCCCAAGCUCAACUUGGGAACUGCCUGUGAGACCUCAGUACUAGAGUAUGAAAGGGGCUAGUGGAAUUCCACGUGUAGCGGUGAAAUGCGUAGAUAUGUGGAGGAACACCUGUGGCGAAGGCGGCUAGCUGGUUCAAUACUGACACUGAGGCACGAAAGCGUGGGGAGCAAACAGG
RNAcentral lists this unclassified non-coding RNA (253 nucleotides) under uncultured Gammaproteobacteria bacterium. Its description in RNAcentral is "contains 16S-23S intergenic spacer region". It matches the Rfam family "Bacterial small subunit ribosomal RNA", at positions 524 to 776 of the family's 1533-position model. Lineage: Bacteria; Pseudomonadati; Pseudomonadota; Gammaproteobacteria. The record is from RNAcentral.